GACGAACGCUGGCGGCACGCCUAACACAUGCAAGUCGAACGGACUUAGGAGAGCUUGCUCAAAUAAGUUAGUGGCGGACGGGUGAGUAACACGUGAGCAACCUGCCUCUAAGAGGGGAAUAGCUUCUAGAAAUGGAUGGUAAUACCUCAUAAAAUAUUUUAAUGGCAUCAUUGAAAUAUCAAAGAUUUAUCGCUUAGAGAUGGGCUCGCGUCUGAUUAGCUAGAUGGUAAGGUAACGGCUUACCAUGGCGACGAUCAGUAGCCGGACUGAGAGGUUGAACGGCCACAUUGGGACUGAGACACGGCCCAGACUCCUACGGGAGGCAGCAGUGGGGAAUAUUGCACAAUGGGCGAAAGCCUGAUGCAGCGAUGCCGCGUGAGGGAAGAA
Molecule: ribosomal RNA, 387 nt
Filed under: uncultured bacterium
Lineage: Bacteria
Description: bacterial SSU rRNA
Rfam family: Bacterial small subunit ribosomal RNA
Source: RNAcentral